GACGAACGCUGGCGGCGUGCUUAACACAUGCAAGUCGAACGGAAAGGCCCCCAUCUUGGUGGGGGUGCUCGAGUGGCGAACGGGUGAGUAACACGUGGGUGAUCUGCCCUGUACUUCGGGAUAAGCUUGGGAAACUGGGUCUAAUACCGGAUAGGACCAUGGUUUAGUGUCUCAUGGUGGAAAGAUUAUUGUUUUGGUGCAGGAUGAGCUCGCGGCCUAUCAGCUUGUUGGUGGGGUAAUGGCCUACCAAGGCGUCGACGGGUAGCCGGCCUGAGAGGGUGGACGGCCACAUUGGGACUGAGAUACGGCCCAGACUCCUACGGGAGACAGCAGUGGGGAAUAUUGCACAAUGGGCGCAAGCCUGAUGCAGCGACGCCGCGUGGGGGAUGACGGCCUUCGGGUUGUAAACUCCUUUCGUUAGGGACGAAGCCGCACUUUUUUUGGGUGUGGUGACGGUACCUUUGUUAAGAAGCACCGGCUAACUACGUG
Molecule: ribosomal RNA, 489 nt
Filed under: uncultured bacterium
Lineage: Bacteria
Description: partial 16S ribosomal RNA
Rfam family: Bacterial small subunit ribosomal RNA
Source: RNAcentral